UACGUAGGGUGCGAGCGUUAAUCGGAUUUACUGGGCGUAAAGCGUGCGCAGGCGGCCCGUUAAGUCAGGGGUGAAAUCCCUGGGCUCAACCUAGGAAUUGCGGUUGUGACUGGCGGACUGGAGUACGGUAGAGGGGGGUGGAAUUCCUCGUGUAGCAGUGAAAUGCGUAGAGAUCAGGAGGAACACCGAUGGCGAAGGCAGCCCCCUGGGCCUGUACUGACGCUCAGGCACGAAAGCGUGGGGAGCAAACAGG
This 253-nucleotide ribosomal RNA is filed under the name uncultured microorganism. RNAcentral describes it as "partial 16S ribosomal RNA". It matches the Rfam family "Bacterial small subunit ribosomal RNA", at positions 524 to 776 of the family's 1533-position model. The record is from RNAcentral.